AAUAAAUCCGAGCAUAUUGGAAAUUAUUUUUAUAUAAGUAUAAAUGAAUAAAACAAUACAGGUAAAAGACCAAUACGGUUGAAUUGUCAGGCCAUAUUACAUACAAAACAUCCAGCCACCGUAUAUAUUGCUUGUAAAAGAUGCACCUGACCUAAGGAUAUAGAAAGUCGGAAAGUAAAAGGAUGGACAGUGAUGUACUGGGAAAAUACUAACCACGAAAACAAGUUGGUGUGGCUAUAUUUAUAUCAGACCAAAUAAAUUUUAAGGCAAAAGGAAUGACCAACAUUUCAUUUUAGCAGGAAGACAGAACUACGAGGAGAAGUAGACAAGUUCACCAUCACGGAGGAGCAGUCUUUGGGCUUGAACAGAAGACUCUCAGCUUCACCCCUGCAAAUGAGAAUUUGGUCAGGCCUGAGGGAUGGGCAUGUUGAGCCCGAGGCACUUGCGUAACUGUGGAGUGAAAGGACAAGAGCUGGGGGUGCCCAUAAGAGCUUGCCAGCUGCCGACACAAGCGACAAGGAGGUCAGAACCUGCACUUUUUGUCUUCCCUUUUAUCUCCGUUCUGUCACCCAAGCCAGCAGUGUUGGGACGUCCUUGGUGCUCAGGUCCCAGGGUCACCGGGGUAGAAAGGGGAGUGCAGACCAAACUGUUUGAGAGAACCAGCAGGCUCCGUGGACCUCACACACAGCCACGUCACGGAGGCGGGCCACGCAGCAUCCCUACUUUCCUUCAGUGAAGCGUUGCCCAGGCUGCUCACGGCUGAUUGGCACGUGGGCUUCCUCCACGUGCCUCACCUUUCACAUCACCACACCCCCAGUCGUCAGACGCCCUGAGCCCUUGCUCCGUGCAGACCCUGCUCUAGACGCUGCGGACACGGGCGAAUGGGACAGACAGUAAUCAGGGAAACCAUCCAGGGAAUUUCAAGUGAAGGAAGGAAGCAGAAAGGGAAAUCAAGAGGGAGGCUGGUGUGGGGCUUUUGGGGGAGAGAGCUGUCAGGAAAGGCCUGGGCUAAGCAGGGAUGUUCACACGGAGGAGAGGAGCCAGCCAUGGGUAGAGCGUUGCAGGUAGAGGGGACAGCAAGCACCAGAGCCCUGCAGCGGGAACAGACUUGCUGUGUCAGAGGAACCGAAAGGAGGCCAGGGUGGCUGGGUGCAGAAGCCAGGUCAGGCCGCUCAGCCUGUGGGCGGCGGUGAGAGGGCCCAGGAGGGAGUUAGAGAGUGCUGACUGUCAUCUGGAGUUGUUCGACCUCAGAGGACAGACAGCUGUCACAUCUGCAUCCGUUGAUCUUAUCUCCCUCUCUUGCUCUUUGGUGUGUCCCGAUAAGCUGCCCUAGCCAGGCAGAAGCUGACAGCCCCCUUCUUGUUCCUCCUAACACACAUCACUGUGUCUUCAUCACUGUCCUCUUCAGCAUCAGCACCAACAGAUUGGGGAAAGGCCAGAGAGGGGGGCGCUGAACAUGAAGUCUCUGGGAAACAUUUUAAGAGGCUAAGGAACAGUGGUGUCCAGUCACACGCUCAGUGGCAUGCGCCACCAGGGGAAGGGGAGGGAAGGGAAGGGAGGGACAUGGGCCCAUCCAGGGAGCAGGGUUCAAGGUAGUCACUGCCGUACUUGCUCUUGAGCCAGCCCCCUGGACAGCUCAGCCCACUGCCGUUCAGCUGCACCCCUUGGAGCCACAGUCGAAGAUGGAGAAACCUCCAUCUGUUAGGAAAUUAAGGUUUUCCGGCCGCCACCCCCUCCGCCGGCUGCUGCCUCUGCGUGCCCUGGCUUCCCACGUCUCGGGAGUGGGGCCCCAGGGUACACAGGUUUGCCACCCCAUCCUUCCAGUGACUCAGACCAAAACCCCGAGACAGAGCUGUGAUUCUUCUCUUCCUCUGCCAUUUAUUCUGUGAGCAGACGUCUUCCGCUGUCUCUUCACAAUAUAUCCCCAGUCUCACCACUGACCACACCCUCCGCUGCCACCCUGGUUCAUGCUGUCAUCCCCAUCGCUCGCCUGUGUCCCUGAACGAUCUCCUCCUGUCUGAUCCCCCUGCCACUCCUGUUGCCCCUUCAGUCUGUUCUCCACACGGCGACCAGAAUGGUCCUGUUAGAACCUAAGUAGUCACAUCCCUCCUCUACUCAAAACCCCGUGACCUCCCCAUCUCUUGUCGAUGCCACAGUCCUUACCGUGGCCUGCAGGCUCUACUGUGUUGGCUUCCUGUCCCUGUCACUCUCUGACCUCAUCUCCUGCUCCUCUCUCUCCCCUCGUUACUUGGGACACUUCUCUGGAGGGUGCGAUUUGCUGAUGCCUUUCAGAAUGAAAAACCCCAUACCAUCUGGUCCAACACGCUGACAUCUAUGAGUUUAUUAAAUGGAUGUACUUUCCCGUGUGCAUGAAGCACAUCCUCACAGUGUUCUUUGUCUGUUUGUUCUGUGAUAAUAAAAGACUGGGAACAACUUG
This is a long non-coding RNA of Leopardus geoffroyi (Geoffroy's cat), 2437 nucleotides long. RefSeq lists it as uncharacterized. NCBI's taxonomy places the organism in Eukaryota, Metazoa, Chordata, Mammalia, Carnivora, Felidae. The transcript is spliced from 3 exons. The record is from RefSeq and is a predicted model, not a curated record.